CCUACGGGAGGCAGCAGUAGGGAAUCUUCCACAAUGGGCGAAAGCCUGAUGGAGCAACGCCGCGUGGGUGAAGAAGGUUUUCGGAUCGUAAAACUCUGUUGUUAGAGAAGAAAGUGCGUGAGAGUAACUGUUCACGUUUCGACGGUAUCUAACCAGAAAGCCACGGCUAACUACGUGCCAGCAGCCGCGGUAAUACGUAGGUGGCAAGCGUUAUCCGGAUUUAUUGGGCGUAAAGGGAGCGCAGGCGGUCUUUUAAGUCUGAUGUGAAAGCCUUCGGCUUAACCGGGGUAGUGCAUUGGAAACUGGGAGACUUGAGUGCAGAAGAGGAGAGUGGAACUCCAUGUGUAGUGGUGAAAUGCGUAGAUAUAUGGAGGAACACCAGUGGCGAAGGCGGCUCUCUGGUCUGUAACUGACGCUGAGGUUCGAAAGCGUGGGUAGCAAACAGGAUUAGAUACCCUUGUAGUC
This 465-nucleotide ribosomal RNA is filed under the name uncultured bacterium. RNAcentral's name for it is "partial 16S ribosomal RNA". It matches the Rfam family "Bacterial small subunit ribosomal RNA", at positions 338 to 795 of the family's 1533-position model. The record is from RNAcentral.